Molecule: long non-coding RNA, 601 nt
Organism: Triticum dicoccoides
Lineage: Eukaryota; Viridiplantae; Streptophyta; Magnoliopsida; Poales; Poaceae
Exons: 3
Source: RefSeq, a predicted model, not a curated record
ACGGUGCCCUCCCCAAUUGACAUAGCUAACAAUGCUAUUGACGAUCACCUGGCCAAGAGGCUCACUGAGUUGUGUGGUUAUGGGAAGAAAUUAGUUGUAGGGAGUGCGCAAUAUAAAGCAAUAAUUGAAAUGAACCUGGGAAUAACCUGUCUGCAUGUUGAUGUUCCGGAUUGUGAGAUGAUAAUUUGUAGUCAGAAGAAGCCCAUGCGUACUUUAUCGCCUAAAAGACUCAGAUCCUACUGAAGAUUUAACAUUGUACUUACAUCAACAUGACAUUACUUGCAAGCUUGAGACGGUUAACGAUUCUAUUAUUAAGGAAGCUCAUCGCUUGCAUCAAAUCGAAUUGCGUGAAAGGAACAUUUGAAGUUCUUGCGCCUUCUUCUUAAGGAUUUUAUGAUGAAAUCUGGCAUUGACACUGAGAAUUGGAUUCUAAUCCAAUUUGCAACAGCUCUGAAGAUGAUUUGUUACCCUGGAGCAUCAUAUAGAGUUUACCGCCCUGAUAAGGUGUGUAUUUUUAGAUGUCUUUCGAGUAUGUGCAUGCUGGAAGUUGUCUUUUUAGCAAUGAUCUUGUUAUGACCGGUUUAGCUUAUAACCGGAGAAG